UUAAGCUCAGGCUCAUGUUUCGGCUCAGACUUAGGCUUAGGCUUAGGCUUAGAACUAGG
This 59-nucleotide small RNA is filed under the name Caenorhabditis elegans. RNAcentral's name for it is "Unclassified non-coding RNA Y44A6B.5". The record is from RNAcentral. Lineage: Eukaryota; Metazoa; Nematoda; Chromadorea; Rhabditida; Rhabditidae.